RNAcentral lists this long non-coding RNA (2183 nucleotides) under Triticum aestivum (bread wheat). RNAcentral's name for it is "long non-coding RNA (TAES_LNC018087)". The record is from RNAcentral. Lineage: Eukaryota; Viridiplantae; Streptophyta; Magnoliopsida; Poales; Poaceae.
GAGUGUGUAGGCGUAUUGUGUGCGGCCCAUGACUUAUCGUUCGAAACAGCACAGGCGACAGAAUCUUGCACUGGUCACCCCCAUCCCCACGACGAUACCGCGGCCUGCGUGGAACAAACCAGAGCCACGCAGCGGGUCGGCUCCUCCACCCCAUCCCCAUCUGGCGAACGGCGGCGCCUGUGCUGCUCCGGCGAGGUGCCCAACAAUGGCCUCGAGCUCAACGGGUAUGUUUGCUCCCCCUCCGACCAACCCUCACUUGAACUAGCUGUCUGUUCACCGCUGCGGAUUUUAGGGAUUUCUUACCGAGUUGGCUCGGCUUCGAUUCAUGCAGGAUGUGUGUUGCGCCCGGGCCGUGGAGCAGUUCCGUCUUCCCAGUCGAGUCACAGGAUUCGAUGAGCGUCCCCAGCGUCGUGUUUGGCGCCGGCGGCGGGCGAGGUGUGCUCUGAAGCCACCAGUGGCUGGACACGCAGGUCAGUGUGCUGAUGCUCUGCCACAAUUCUUCUUUGGAGUGUCGUGCGAAGUUAGAUCUGAAUCAUGUUUAGGUUGCUAGGGGACAGAAGAGUUGAUUCGGAUUUCUGCAGCGAUUCAUAGUAAUGUUAUGCACAUAUUUGUUCUAUUUUCGGUGCUGUGCUAGUUGUACAUGUUGUGGAUCAUUUUUUUCGAAAAAUAUGCUUCUGUGUAGGAAAAUAUAGAGCUGUUUUGGAGAUUGUUGGAAGUGUGGCGACAGUGAUGUUAGCACUAAUCUAGUAGCUCUUGGAUUCAUAGUGUGGUAAUUGGAUUUUUGCAUUACUGGAGGUUUGAAAUUUACAGAGAUGUAUGUAGAUUGCAUGGGUGUCGAAUCAGCGUCGUUGUUUUGGAAAUUUUGUACUUGCAGGAUAGAUCUGAUUCGCACAGGAGUGUUGCCGGGCUGGCGGGGUGUAUUGGUUCCGUUCUACCAGUGGACUCCCAGGAUUCGAUGAGUGCCCCCAUUGUCAAGGUGGACGCGGUCGGCAAAGCACAGCCAUAAGAAACUGUGCUGAACAUCCUUCUCUCCUUCUGAUUUUGCAGCUCUUUUAGCAAGUUUGCAUAUUUAGAAAGGUUGAGCUUUGUCUAAUUACCGUAGAAGUUGAUCUGAAGCUGGUUGUUUGGCACAUAUUUCACUGCAAUUUUAGUUUGAGUGCAAUUUGGGACAAAUUUGUUUGGAUGGGUAGUAUGUUUGUUGGAUUUCCCCCCCGUGCCACAGGCAGCUUUAUGGUGUAAAUUGGGUAGUCGGAGUAGAUAACUUUUUUUACUUGGGCCAAUGGAACAUUUGUCGCUUGGACUUUGGGGGUUAGUGAUGUUGAGUUCAGAAUUGCCGUAUUUAUUUGAUGAGUUUCGCUACAGUGGAAGCCACAGGAUUUUUUUUUAUUGGUACGUGAUAAAUUUGGAGUAAAACUUUUGUGGAUUGUUUAGAGGCAAGCUGGUCGUGUUUAGGUUGUUGGUUACUUUUUAGAGGCAAUGGAACAAUGCAGUUUGCAGUUUUGGGUGUUAGUGAUGUUGGAUCCAGUAUAACCAUAUUUGUUUUAUGAGUUUUGAUCCAGUGCAAGUCAAAUGAUUGUUUUGAUUGGGAGAUGAUUGGUUUGGAGUAAAACCUUGAUGAUGGUUGUUUGGGACAAAAAUGUUCAUCAAUGUACUUGGGGUGAUUUCACACAGGAGGUUCGGUUUGAGUAUUUUCUAGAGGCAAGCUGGUUGUGCUUAGGUUGUCAGUCAAGCAGCUUGAAAGCAUGCCCACUGUCUAUGCAAAUUCACCAAUGUAGCUACUCUAUCUUGCAGGAAACUCUGUUAUCACAUAGUAACCUGAUGUUCUAUGAGCUAAUGCGGAUGCAAGGGAACCAUUCAGCGGCGGCAAGUGACUUGCUUGAGGCAAUCAAAGGGUCAUUUGUUGUUCUGUAAAACAGUUUGCCCUGUGUGGUAUAGGCAAUGUUUUGAGGGAAUAGGUAUAGGCAAUUGGAAAUGCCAUGUAACUCUUUUUCAUUCAGUUUUAAGAACCUCCACAAGAUAUUCAGUUUGGACCGUGUGCAGGGUUAAUUCAAUGCACUUUAAUUCAUGCAGCUCCCACCAAUACCUUUUUAUCUUGACUAGUGCAAUCACUAGGAUAAUGCAACACAAUGCUAAUGGAAAUUCACCGAGGAAAUUUCAGUCUACAUGCACAAACACUUGUACAC